RNAcentral lists this long non-coding RNA (578 nucleotides) under Pongo abelii (Sumatran orangutan). Its description in RNAcentral is "lincRNA". Lineage: Eukaryota; Metazoa; Chordata; Mammalia; Primates; Hominidae. The record is from RNAcentral.
CAGGCGCUGCUGCCGCAACACAGGCGGGCACUCUCUGCGGGUCCCGCGGCUCCCGCGGCUUGCGGCCUGCUCAGCGCCUCCAGAGGCCUCAGGUGAGGGUCACCCCCCGCAGCUUGGGGUCACUCCCCUGAGCCCCCAGAUCUUCCCAUGGAUCCUUUGGAGGCCUGGGUUUUGGAGUUUGUCCUUCCUAAGUGCCGCCCUCCGGGCGCGGCUGCUCCAGGACCACAGAUUUCAUUGGGGAUGCUACCUGAUCUCUCUUCAGCCUCAGUUUCCUCACCUGGACAGUGGAGCUGAACCCACUCCCCACUAUCUGACCCUGCUCUCUGGGCUGUCCUUCGGGAACCCGCCCUGCUCAGGCCUGCUCCCCACCCUCCAUGGCUGUCAGCCCCCCAGGAGAAGAAUGUCUGCCAUACGGAGGCUGCUGGCAGCAAAGGGAGAUGAACAAGCCAAGGUUGCCCGGCCUGCACGCUGGCCCAGGUGGACACUUGAAAGGAGUUUCUCUGUUUGUGGGUUUUUGCCCUGGUGCCUGGAGCCCCUUCCCUAUAGUCCCUUGAAGCAGCCCAGCUCUAUGGGCUGGA